GAUGAACGCUGGCGGCGUGCCUAAUACAUGCAAGUCGAGCGAACGGACGAGAAGCUUGCUUCUCUGAUGUUAGCGGCGGACGGGUGAGUAACACGUGGAUAACCUACCUAUAAGACUGGGAUAACUUCGGGAAACCGGAGCUAAUACCGGAUAAUAUUUUGAACCGCAUGGUUCAAAAGUGAAAGACGGUCUUGCUGUCACUUAUAGAUGGAUCCGCGCUGCAUUAGCUAGUUGGUAAGGUAACGGCUUACCAAGGCAACGAUGCAUAGCCGACCUGAGAGGGUGAUCGGCCACACUGGAACUGAGACACGGUCCAGACUCCUACGGGAGGCAGCAGUAGGGAAUCUUCCGCAAUGGGCGAAAGCCUGACGGAGCAACGCCGCGUGUGUGAUGAAGGUCUUCGGAUCGUAAAACUCUGUUAUUAGGGAAGAACAUAUGUGUAAGUAACUGUGCACAUCUUGACGGUACCUAAUCAGAAAGCCACGGCUAACUACGUG
This 497-nucleotide ribosomal RNA is filed under the name uncultured bacterium. Its description in RNAcentral is "partial 16S ribosomal RNA". It matches the Rfam family "Bacterial small subunit ribosomal RNA", at positions 28 to 507 of the family's 1533-position model. The record is from RNAcentral.